CUUGACAUGUCCUGGAGCCUGGUGAAAGCCGGGUGUGCCCGAAAGGGAACGGGAACACAGGUGCUGCAUGGCUGUCGUCAGCUCGUGUCGUGAGAUGUUGGGUUAAGUCCCGCAAUGAGCGCAACCCUUGUCAUUAGUUGCUACAUUCAGUUGGGCACUCUAAUGAGACUGCCGGUGACAAACCGGAGGAAGGUGGGGAUGACGUCAAGUCCUCAUGGCCCUUAUGGGUAG
This 231-nucleotide ribosomal RNA is filed under the name uncultured beta proteobacterium. RNAcentral describes it as "partial 16S ribosomal RNA". It matches the Rfam family "Bacterial small subunit ribosomal RNA", at positions 980 to 1211 of the family's 1533-position model. Lineage: Bacteria; Pseudomonadati; Pseudomonadota; Betaproteobacteria. The record is from RNAcentral.